Molecule: non-coding RNA, 476 nt
Organism: Triticum urartu
Lineage: Eukaryota; Viridiplantae; Streptophyta; Magnoliopsida; Poales; Poaceae
Source: RefSeq, a predicted model, not a curated record
UUUGAACUCAAACCCAUCCAUCCUUUGUACUGUACAAUACUGAAGAAGUAAUGUAGAUGAAUAUACAUGCAGUUUUAUUAAGUGAAUGCCAUGCAAACAACUAACUUGCUCUUGUCCAUGUAGAUGGAGUAGGAGGAUGAGCAGCAGCAACAAAUGAACCUGAUGGUGAAGAAGCACCUGAUGACCAGAACUCGUUCAAGUGCUCUUUAGUCCUUCCAAAGCAAGGAGCUUUGGGCCUAAUUUUUUUUGGAGUGUGAAGCCAUGAAGCCAAGUGCGAAUCAGUGAAGCCCUACUUAGCAAAGAGUUUUUUUGGUUCUAUAGUAGACUGUAAAUUGUAAUAUUGUAUCAGAUUGUAAAAGACUAAUGUAGUGUUAUUUGAUGAAUUAUAUUUGUCCCGUCCUAUUUGAAAUAGUGAUUAUGUAUGUUAAAAAGAUGUGAAAUGGAAACAUGACCAGCGGGACCAAUUUAUGCCCCAC